AUGCCAUGAUGUGGACACUUUCGCAAAAGUUCCUUAAACCUCUCCCACGCAUCACUUGUGGACUCAUCUUCAAGUUGCUGAAAAGACAUGAUCUCACUUCUGAAUUU
Amborella trichopoda is the source of this 107-nucleotide non-coding RNA. Lineage: Eukaryota; Viridiplantae; Streptophyta; Magnoliopsida; Amborellales; Amborellaceae. The record is from Rfam.